RNAcentral lists this unclassified non-coding RNA (165 nucleotides) under uncultured Ascomycota. Its description in RNAcentral is "sequence contains ITS2". Lineage: Eukaryota; Fungi; Ascomycota. The record is from RNAcentral. RNAcentral also lists the same sequence under 4 other names.
CAACCCUCACGCCCCUAGGGCGUGGUGUUGGGGAUCGGCCAGCGCCCGCGAGGGACGGCCGGCCCCUAAAUCUAGUGGCGGACCCGUCGUGGCCUCCCCUGCGAAGUAGUGAUAUUCCGCAUAGGAGAGCGACGAGCCCCUGCCGUUAAACCCCCAACUUUCUCA